Molecule: long non-coding RNA, 7718 nt
Organism: Callithrix jacchus (white-tufted-ear marmoset)
Lineage: Eukaryota; Metazoa; Chordata; Mammalia; Primates; Cebidae
Source: RefSeq, a predicted model, not a curated record
GGUGGGGUGGGGUGGAGAAAUUGGCCAUGCAGAAGGGGAAAAUCCCCUUCCUAAAAUCAGCAGCCGAUUGUGCACCAGCUGGUCGGGGGAGAGGGUGGACCACGCCCCUAGGAGCUCCUUUGGGAUGGGAAAGACAGCCCGGUAUUACCUGUUGGAAACCAGGUCUCUUCUCUUCUCCCCUUCCCUUGCUUCUAUCCUGGGAUUGUCAGUGACCAGAGAAGGGCUAACAUCCUGGAUAAUAAGUAUGGUGACUCAUUUUCAUCAGGAAGAGGGACACAUCCAAGAUUAGCAAGAAUCAGAGCCCCUCCUUCCCUCCCCCACUGCCCAGGUUUUACAGCCAUUUCCAAUUGCUCGCUUAUUUCUUGAAAGACAUUUUAGAAACUUGAUUGGGGUGAGAGUGGGAAGGAAUGACGAGUGUGGUAUUCCUCAGCAACCAACCAUGCCAUAACAGUCUCCAAAAGACGCUUUCAAACAUUUGUUGGAAUGCAUUUGAGUGAUUUUGGCAAAGGUUAAGGAGAAAAAUGGGUGUGGGAUAUGGGUGAGUGUGUGCAUGUGUGUGCCUGUGGCAGGGGUGGGGGUGUGGUGGGGGCAAUCUUGGUCAAAGAAGCCCUUUGCAGACUGAUUGUCUUAGGGGUGGGGUGCAAGAGAUAGAAUUUGAGUAUUAUUUCCAGUGCAGCUAUUGGAAAUUGGACAAUUUGUAAUACACUGCCUGAAUCCAAAUGGGGUGGAAGAGAGUGGAGAAGAAGCAGCCUGCCAGCUUAGCACGUUUAGCCAGCGCCCUGGAAGGAAGGGUGGGGAGUGAGGAUGAAGGAGAAGGAACAGGAAGGGUAAGGGAGACAGAAGCAGAAUGUAAGAACAGUGGGUGUAGAGGUUUGGCAUGCAUAAAUAAAUAAAUAAGGUAGCAGCCAUCCUGGAUUGUAUGGGGCUAUUUGGGGAAAAGUCAGAUAGUGGGAGAUUGUGAGGAGGGGGUGUUUGCAGCAUCUCCUGAAACUGCCCUAUGGUUACAGAGAUGGAUGCUUCCAUUGGCUCGUUUUUUCAAACUAGGACAUUUUCUCUCCUUGUCCUCCUUCAUUUUAAUAUAUAAAUGUAAUAAAUACAGGUGUCUGGGUUAAGAACACUGUCAAAGAAAAGUCCUGAGGUUACUUCACUGGUGAGCUGGGGAAAUAAAAUUUAGGAAGGUGGAGCACUAAGUAAACCAAAGCUAUUCACUUAAAAAGCUUUAAUUUUGGAAAGAAAAAUAUUCAGGUUUAUAACUUGUUCCCACCCUGUAUGUACACAGACAAGUAUACAUACAUCUCCUUUAAUAAAGGAAACCAUGUAUGAUUUUUAGAAAGGGAAUUAGGGCUAAAGGAAUUCCCUUCCCAAAAUGUCUUCAUUUUGGGGUUCUAUCUCACCAACCACCCCAAGCAUUCACUCUGAUGUGCAAAGUGAUGAAGCUGAAAUUGUGUGUUUAGAGUUGUGGAAAUUCACAUGUAAAUGUGUACAGCAUCCACAUACUUCAUAUGCUACAGUUGCAUGUGUAAGUGUGGUUUCCACAUGCUUCCCUGUGUUUUAGCAUCAUUUGUAUUCAAAAGAGAAAAUGAAAGGUAUAGAAAUUGUCCUUAUUUUGCUCAUGCAUUUCAUAAUGUGUACUUCUAUGUGAAAUGAUCAUGUUUCUUAUAUACCACUGUCGUGUAUCAUUCACAUUAGCCAGUAUUUAGGAUACCAUUCAAUCAGACUAAAGGAAAUGGUGUAUUCAGGGCGUGGGCUCACACUACAUUGACUGGCAUUUAUGUAGCAUGAGUACUUAAGUUUCACGCAGGUUUCCUGCUUGUGGAUGAAAUUCUAUAUCGUUUAUGACAAAAUCUAGUGGUUUCCAACCUUCUGCUGGCAUCUAUUCAUCAUCCUAAUACUUAACAGGGAAUAAAACAAGGGCAAAAACCUGCAAAGGUCUAAACUCUGCCACACCCAUAAAAUCCAGCAGAAAUGUGGGAGGGGGCUGAAGGGCUUGCACUUCCUUCCUCUUCCACUUGAGCGGCAUAAAGAAGCAACCUUGGAUUUCUAAGUUGGAAUACAUUGCCAGUGGAUGAGAAAAAAAUCAUAAAUUAUCUAUAUUAGCCAUUAGUUACCACUAUAGAUUAUUACAGCAGGAAGAAGAGAAUGAGGGUGGCAUGGAGUUGAGAAUAUGGUAAAGGAGUGGGCAAUGGAGGAAUAAAAUAAAAGAAUCCCUAAGAUUGUACUGCCUUAUGAUUUUCAAACAUCUUUGGGCUUACUUUCAGUAGCUUAAUUGCCAUGUGGAUUCCAAAUGAUUAAAAACUUGGCAAGGUAUGAUCUGUGUCUGCAAAGCAAGAAAACUAUGAGGUGUUUCUUUUGUUGAAAAAGAAUGACUUUAGUUUGUAACUGAAGUGUAAAGAAUUUCAUGCAAGCAAGGAGUCCCUCUACUCCCCAGCCCCCUAUUCAAGCCAAAAUCAGCUUUUUACCUCAUGCAACAAAUAAAUGUUAUCUCUGAGAGUGUGAUCUGUGAUUUAGAAUUCCAACCUCACUGUGCCUUUUCCUGCAGUGCUGGGAAGGUGUGGAAGGUGCUGCCUUGCUGCUUGGUGCAGGCGAUUCUUCCUAGUGAUAAAUGGGAUUCCUCCCAAAGCUCUCUGAGCCACACCCAGUGUCACCCAGGGACUUAGUGAAUUAAUUAAGCUGAGAUAUUUUACUUAAUAUAAUUGAAGCUUCUUGUAUUUUUUUUCAAUAGUGUUUUUCACCACAGGUUUGCAAAUUUAAACAGAAAAAAAUACUUGAAGGGCACUUUCCUUCUUUUCUUUUCAUUUCUUUUUUUCCCAAAUUAUCUGGACUUGUAGAGAACCUUAGAAAAUUCAUGGUGAGUCUCGAAAAUGUUCAUUUCUGGUGACUCUGUAAUUCCUUCAAACCCAUGCCAGGGCCCAUACACAAUGAGCCCUGAUUUCUCCUGUUGACAGAGUCUGUGUAACUCUCUUCCCCAGCCCCCUCCCUUACCAACCCAUGCUGAGGCAACUGGAAUAAGAAAAUGCAGAGUUAAUUUUUUUUCUUGCUGAGCUGGCAAAACUACAGAAACCUUCUUUGAUGUUUCAUGCUAAAGGGCAGUACUCUUGUUCACCAAGAGGGACGGUAGCUUGGGGUCUCCUUUGCUUCUGUCACAGGGAAAUUGUCAGUGUUUUGCCUGGGGCUGAAUUUAUCCAUAGACUUCAGACUCUUACCUGGCCCCAUGAGGAAGGGUACUGACGUUCUUUCAGGCAAUAAUAGAGCAUAUAUAUUAACUAAUCAUAUUGAUAAAGUAAGACAAGUCUUCCUCUGUUAAUAGUUCAAAGGCUGCACAUAACCAGGUCAUCUGAAGAGAAGGUACAGCAGCAUUUAACUAUUCGCUUCCCUAUGAGUUUUAAUAAAUGCAUUAGAGCAAGUAAGCAGUGUCUGUUGCAAACUAAAGAAGUGAUUUUAUGCAGGAAUUCUCCCUUUUGAAUUUCUGAAGUGUGGUCAGGUGGCUUUUGUACCUUUGUAAUUAAAUCUUCAAAACAUUUCAGAAGUGUGGGGAAGAAUACUACACUGUGAGUCCUUAGUGGAGGCCACUUCUGACUGUGAUCUUGAAUGAAUCACAUCACGUUGGGCUUCAGUUUCCUUCUGUAGAAUGAAGAGUAAAAACCAAAAACCAAACACAAAUGAAAAGAUCCCACCUUAAGGAUUUUUGUAGGGCUUAAACAUACUUGAUGUGAAAAAAAAAAAAGAUAAUACAAGCAUAAGAAAUUUUUCUCCCCAAGUUUUGCAAUGUGAGACUUGUUUUAGAGCCUCCAGUUUUUCAGGAUGAUCUAGUGCCCGCUAUGUCUACCUUUCGCAGUUACAGAUGAGUUCCUUCUAGUCUUAGUUGAGCCUUCUGCUUGUGCUCUUGCUCUUUCCCUCCCAGAACCCCACUCCCUCAUGCUCUUGUCUCUCUUGAGAUUUCAUCUUCUUGUGCUGCACUGGCUCCUCUCCUUAUAGCUUAUGAAUAUGCUUUUGCCUCAUCUAUCUUAAAGGAUCCUCUCCUGACUCUGUCCCCAUCUCUAUAGUGCUCUCUCUCACUCUCCCUUUAGAACAGAGUUCCAAGUACUCUCCACACUCACUUUCUCCUCUUCUUCGCUCCCCAUUCACUAUUCCAUCUAGUUUAAAUUGGCUUUUGUUUUCAUAAUUUCACUGAAAAACAUAUUCUGAAAGGGCACCUCAACCAGUGACCCUUCAUUUUACAUCUUAUUUGAUGUCUCUUUGGCAUCUUGUGUUGUUGUCCAUCCCUCUUCCUGAAACUGUCCCCUCACUGGGCCUGCAUGAUAGUAACAGCUCUCUUUGUUCUCCCUCUCCAAUAAGACCCUGCUCAGUCUCCUUAUAAGCUUCCCUUGCUCUUUACCCACCCCACAAAAUUCAUGAUAACCUGGAUCAUGAUCAUGAUUCAUUCCUCUCUUCUCAUUUGACUCACUAAUCCUAGGUGAUCUCCUCAUGUCAUCCAUGUCCAAAGCUUUAGCCACCUGUGUGACUGCCAGAUCUGAGGACCAGAUGCCUAUUUUUAGCUUCUGAUUCAUAGUUAUCUUGGUCUAAGUUUAUUAUACUCAAAACCAAACUCAGUGUCUUCUGUUUUGUAUCACACUUGAUCUUCCUCACUACACUUAUUGCUCUGACACUGCCCAUACAGCCUCAGAGCUCUAGGAACCUAAGAGUAAUCUUGAAUGUACUUUCUUUCAACUCCCAUAUCCAGUUUCUAAAUCCUUUGGUUCUUUUAAAAGAUUGAAUAAAUCCUCUGCUUUUCUACCCUGUUUAUAUAAAUAACCUGGCUCAGACUUUUCAUGACUACAUAUCCCUACAAAAGCAAUAACUUUCUACAUGGAGUUCCACCACCACAUUGUUCUUUGGUUUACCUUGCAAAUAACACUGUGUAUCUUACACAAUGCAAAUUUGGUUGUGUUAUUUUCCUUGUUAAAAUAUAAAUGAUUCAGCAUGACACAAUCUAAUUUUGCUUACCUUUCUAGUGCCAAACUCAGACCCCCCCCCCUUUUUUUUUAACCUGAUGACACCAUAGCAAGAUUUCAGGCCUUGGUGCCUUUGCAUGUACUCUAUUCUCUGUCCACAUUAUACUUGGCUCUCGGCCUGAACUGUUCUCCCAUUCCCUGCAAGAGUUAGCUCUUUGAAGCCAUUCUUAACCUUCCUAAUUCAGUUUUCUUCCACCUUCUUUUGCCCAUGCUGUAUGUUGUACUAUCUUUAUUCUCACUUAUUGCAGUAUUUGACAUUCAUUUUUUCACAUUCUGGUGUCCACACUGUGAGCUGCUUGGGGAAAAGGAUGAAAACAUAAUUCUUAUUUUAUCUCUAGCAUAAUACUUGGUACAUGAAAUAACUGAUGUUAACCCUGAAUAAUCUGUUUGCUAAAUAAAUAUGGAACCAGGUUUAUAGUCUUUUCACAAGCUGUACCAUAUCUAAAUGGCUAGAAUAACUAGGAGAUUUUUCUAAAAAUGUGUUGGCAUGAAAUUUUAAAGUGGAAUUGAUUAUCAGUGAUUCUUGUUACUGACUUAUAGACAUGACAGCCACCAGUUUUUAAUAAAAGUGACAUAAAAUGAACCCAUUUAUAGACCGUAUUUCUCUGAACUCCCAUAGCUGGUACUGUCUCCCCUCCAUGUCCUCCUCUGUCAACAGCCAGCAUUACAGCCCCACCCUCUCUGUUACCACAGCCUUGGAUCUUCACAUGCUCUUCCUUUGAGGCUCGGAGUACUUGAACUCACUGCUUUGCUUCACAACUAUUACAGAUCGAUCAUAAAUCCAUUUGUGUGAUCCAUGAAAUAAAUCAACUAACAGCAGCAAGAUUUUUUUUUUUUAAAUGCAUGUAGUGCUGGUCUGUGCUUAGGGGUGUGUGCUCAAAAAUUAAUUUUACCUUCAUUUGGAUUUCUUUUCUUCCCUCUAAAGUAUCCACAUAAUAAUAUUUCACAAAGAGAAAGCAUGAUUGGAGGACAGGGAGGGUGAGUGGUAAGUAGUCCCUCAAAUGACUGUUAAACAAAUGUUAGUGUCCGAUGAAUUGGAUUUUUCUUAGGUUUAAAUAGACUGAAGGGAUUUGGUUUCUGAAGUAUGCCUAUUGUGCCCAGCGUGGAACAAAUUGCAACCACUGUUUUCCAUGAAAAUACUCCUGCCAGACUCUAAGAGUGUAUUUUCUCUGACUAAAUUGGCAUGUCCAUGAGAACAGCAGAAAGCCUAAAUAAUUUAUAAGUGAAGUUUGUCUUCAACUGAUAAAGUUUGGUAGUAUUUGUCAAUUGCCAUAGCCGCACUUGAUAUCUUGCUCACUGUUCCCAAUCUCUUUGGCAUUGAGUUUUUCCAUUCUUUUCUCCUCCUCUCAGACUCAGGUACAGUUUUUCUGAUUAAGUAAUACCAGCUCAAGCUAGUGUUUAGUGGGUGAGGCUAUGGAAGGAGAACUUUAAGACAAGGUGUGCUUCUUCAAACUUUCCAAAUAAGUAUUUUUAGGCAAAACAGGUAUUUUAAGCUAUGGCUGGCAGGUUUUAGAUUCUCAAUAAAUACUUGUUGAAGGAACAAAUGUAAGAAGGCGGGAAUAAUCAUGAUGGGUCAUUAGGGGAGAUGUUUUGGGACAGAUGACCAGUUCUGUGUGCCUAUUCAGAAUGGGCUUUGUGUAAAUGCAAGCUCAGCUCUAUUGGUCCCCCUCGCAAGACUGAAGUUGUCAAAGUUCAGUUCCCUCUCCUGUCUGCCUAGAUCCGAGAGACACACUUGCAGUCAUUUCAUUCAGGUUUAGCAUGGGAACGUGACCCUCCUGAUUUCCUAUCCUUAAUUAUCUACAGAUCUUAUUUUCUUAGAUGUUGUUUGUUUAAUGUCCUGUUUCAUGUCUUUGUAGUGGAAUAGACCCUUUUCCUGGGUUCUAGACCUGUUUCUGCCAGUUGCUUGUCAUGUGAUCUUGGGUUCUAUGGCUUGCACUGAAAAAUCUUACUGAUGGAACCCUGUACUCAGAAAUCCGGCCCAAGCUGCUAAUAUUUUUCACCUGGAUUAUUGCAAUAGCCUGGGAGCUUUGCACUCACUGUUCUGUCUACCUGAAAUACUUUGUUGCAACAUAUUCUCAUGAGUAGCUCCCUUACUCAUGGGUUCUACUCAAACUCACCUGUUUAAAUGUUAUCAAGGAGAAGAUCUCUCAUUAACCCUACAAAACAUCACCCCACCUAACACUCCUUACCUGUCCCCUUUUGUUCUCUUUCAUUUUAUUUUCUCUAGCCCUUGUAUGUACUUGAGAUACAUUAAGAUUUAUUAUAAUCUGCUGGCACCAAUGGCAUGUAAACUCCAUGAGGGCUUCAUUACUCUUUUAGUGACUUAUAUUUCCUGGAACCUAGUACAGUGCCUGGUACAUAUCAGGUACUCAAUAAAUAUUUAGUGAAUGAAUAAAGGAAUACACUUAAAUUCUGUUCAGAUGUAAUUAUAAGAAUAAGCUAAACACAUGCUACAGCUAAGGCAUCCAUUUCCACCUGGAUCCACAUCCUUCCUGAUUUAUGUUCCUUAAUCUGAACCAGCAGCAACCCAUAUAUUUCUUUCAGUCUUGCUGUCAGUCUAAGGUAUGUGAUGCAGCGGAUUUCCAAGAGUGAUGAAAGAAGAAUUUGAUCUUGCUCACCACUACAAAAUGUGUAUUUAUUUUUUCCUUUUAUAUUUUAAUUGUUUAAACAUUUGGAGAGGAUUGUCCUGCUGUGGUAAACUUAUACUCAUUAAAUUGUCAAGUGUAA